AGGAAUAAUACUGCCUUUUCUUUCUGGCAUGGAUCAAGAGAAAAGAAAAUACAAGAAAACAGACAGAAGAUCCUAUCUGCGACAAUUAAGAGCACUCUAAGAGGAAAACACAUCCCACCACAGCAAGGUACUUCUAUGGAAGGGUGAGCCCUCACAGAUGGAGCAAUGGGGCGCGCACACCUGAACAAGGGAGGGGAAGGAGUUCUUAUCCCUGAUGCAUGUGACCCCUGCUGCUGUGUCCUUCCCCUAUUGGCUAAGGCUUCUGACAGCUUUGGAGAUUGUGACAUUGGAAUAAAGGAAAAACGUACAGGACUCAUGAAGCGCUGAAAUGUUCACAAAUAUCAAGCAAAAGUCAAUGAAAUUUAUUUUGAGCUAUUUACAUCAUUUAAUAAUUGAGCAAGGUAUACUCCUAUGAACAAAAUUUGGAGCAUGUUUGUCUCUCUCUGCCUGGCGUCUUCAGAAUUUGGAAACUAGUUAGUCAUGGAAAUUUAUUUUGAGCUAUUUACAGCAUUUAAUAAUUGAGCAAGGUAUACUCCUAUGAACAAAAUUUGGAGCAUGUUUGUCUCUCUCUGUCUGCCUGGCAUCUACAGAAUUUGGAAACUAGUUUCGUUCCCAGAUUUCCUAAACUUUCCAGAGAAAAUGGUCUUCUCCCUGGCUCAGCAAGAAGAUGAACUUUAAACACUGAGAAACUGGUCAUCUCCCUGGCUCAACCAGAAGAUGAACUUUAAACACUACUCUCAAUGACUUGAUGUUCCCAUCACUACUCCUGUCAUAAAGGGAGGGGACUCAGAUAUUGAGAAUUUUAUGAUAGUGUGAACUGUCUGGUAUGUCAUUUAAGUAAGCCCGUUGCUGAAAUAUUUUCCAUGUUAUUAGAAAGAGCUGAAGAGAGGGAUUGAGAUGGCUUCUUUAUUUUUUGUCUUUUGGGAAUUAAAGGAACCUGGUUCAACAAGGGCCUACACCUAAGUCUCUUGUUGUACCAGAGUACAAUUUAGGACUGCUCCUGAGGAAGGAAUUAGCUAGAAAUCUAGAGAGUAAGGGUAACAGAUUUACAUAGAAUAACAGCCUCAGUAUUUUUGGUUCCUCUCCAGUAAAGAUCACAAAGAAUAUUGCUAAAUCGCUAAAACACCUUUGCAAUAACGUAAGGGCUUACAACUAUAUACCAAUGUAGCUCAGUUACUAAACUGGAGUAAACUAAUUUCUCUUGUGUAGAAAAAUUGGUUGGCUGUGGUUUUAUAGCAGAUCUGCAAUUAUUAAUAGUUAUGCCAAUAAUCGUUUAACAGUGCAUAUGUUAAUAUAUAUGGAAAGACAAUGUGUAUAGACAGAUGUGUAAAAUUGAAAAAUAAACAUAUAACAAGAGAGAAACAUCUAUCGAACAGACAAUAUACAUACACAUCAAACACAACAGCAGUUUUAGUGACCAUAAUAUUUAUUUCUCAUUUUUACAUUGCUUACUUUAGUGACAACUGAAAAUGACAGUUGGCAAUGCAGCUAACAGUUUCAAUAAAAGUAUAAAACAAAAGACUGUGUACAAAGCACCUGUCUUUCCGCUUUUGUAAUCUUCCGUUGGAAAAAAUUUACACACCUAAGUAACCAUCUGUUUUCUUCAAGAAAAAAUCAUUCUUAUUUCUCUCUCUCAUCUUGAAAACAGCUGUCAGCCAGGAGGGCAGAGCUGAAAUUUAUUGCCACAUCACAUGAAGCAUAGAACAGACUCCACUACUCCUUGAGAUUCAAAACUUUGCCUCUCACAAAGUUACCUUUUAUUUUCCUCUUGUUUGUCACUCAUCUCCCCUAGUGUGCUCUUUUUAUUUCUUUUACUAUUAAUAAUAAAAUCUGUGGAUGACUGUAUUAUU
RNAcentral lists this long non-coding RNA (1850 nucleotides) under Homo sapiens (human). Its description in RNAcentral is "non-protein coding LINC00320:20". Lineage: Eukaryota; Metazoa; Chordata; Mammalia; Primates; Hominidae. The record is from RNAcentral.